Molecule: ribosomal RNA, 253 nt
Filed under: uncultured bacterium
Lineage: Bacteria
Description: partial 16S ribosomal RNA
Rfam family: Bacterial small subunit ribosomal RNA
Source: RNAcentral
UACGUAGGUGGCAAGCGUUGUCCGGAUUUAUUGGGUUUAAAGGGUGCGUAGGCGGGCCAUUAAGUCAGUGGUGAAAGCUCCGAGCUUAACUCGGAAUCUGCCAUUGAUACUAUUGGUCUUGAAUUCGGUCGAGGUUGGCGGAAUGUGUCGUGUAGCGGUGAAAUGCUUAGAUAUGACACAGAACACCGAUUGCGAAGGCAGCUAGCUAGACCGACAUUGACGCUGAGGCACGAAAGCGUGGGGAUCAAACAGG